RNA transcript from Hippopotamus amphibius kiboko, 2809 nucleotides. It is a transcript of the gene named ring finger protein 24, with no coding region annotated. The transcript has 7 exons. The record is from RefSeq and is a predicted model, not a curated record. Lineage: Eukaryota; Metazoa; Chordata; Mammalia; Artiodactyla; Hippopotamidae.
CUCGCCGGGGCCGCGGCGCGCCGUCUGCCGCUGCCACCUCAGCCGCGCUCGGUCCCGGCAGACUCCCGCCGCUCACCGCCCUGAGCUGACGGUCCCGCCACGCUCGCCGCCGCCGCUGCCAGCACAACAGAUUCAUCCAUGAGCUCGGAUUUCCCACAUUACAACUUCAGGAUGCCUAAUAUUGGAUUCCAGAACCUGCCACUCAACAUAUAUAUUGUGGUUUUUGGCACUGCUAUAUUUGUCUUCCUCCUUAGUGUGCUCUUCUGUUGCUACUUGAUUAGGCUAAGACAUCAAGCACACAAAGAAUUUUAUGCCUACAAACAGGUUAUAUUAAAAGAAAAAGUAAAAGAACUGAAUUUACAUGAGCUCUGUGCCGUGUGUCUAGAGGACUUCAAGCCUCGAGAUGAGUUGGGGAUUUGUCCCUGUAAGCAUGCCUUCCACAGAAAGUGCCUUAUUAAGUGGCUGGAGGUUCGCAAAGUAUGUCCACUGUGCAACAUGCCAGUUCUGCAACUGGCCCAGUUGCACAGUAAGCAGGACCGUGGACCCCCCCAGGGGCCCCUCCCUGGGGCAGAGAACAUUGUAUAGCUCAUCACAAGGAUCAGACGGUUGCAGGAUCCGACGUCUGUGUGGAGCCAGGAGGAGCGCAAGCAGUCUCUGUGUUGGCUGCUCUGCCUGGGGCACCAGCUGCCACUUCCUUUGUCUCAUAAAGGAAGAACUCUCGGGCCAGCUAGGCUGGGAACCCAGACUUCUGCGUCUUGUGACAACCAAAGUAUUCGGACACUACCCCAUGCCAAGAGAAGAGGAGUGGAUGAGCCUGCGGGUUUGGUUCAAGAAACCUCAUGAGGGUCUCUCGCUCACUCCAUUACACUCUGUCUCCCAGACACUUAUCUCCAUAUCAAGACAAGUAUAUUCAAGGAGCAUUCCUAGUCAUGUGGGAAGAACCAUCCCAGAAGUCAGAAUUCUGUCUGUAAAAGGUGAGCCCAGAAUUGGGGGAUGUUUCUGUAAUUACACUCCUUUUGAAUAAGGCAUAUUUUCCACUGAUUGCAGCAUGAAGAAAUUCUAGUUUUCUAUACAGAUCAAACUACAGUCCUUCCCCGACCCUAACCACAGAUGCCCAAAUAACAAGAGAGCUCAGCCAGUUCCCAGCCUGAGCCUCUGACAGGACACUCAAGAGCAGGCUCCACAGCCGAAAGUGACAGCACAGUCCAGCUGCCUUUGCAGGGGACCGGACAGGCUGCAGCCGCACCCCAGCCCCCAGCCCAGUUUGAAGUAAGGACCAAGAGCCCAGCAGUGACAUCUGGCUACAGCUGUCAUGGUUUCUUAGGCAAGCCCAUGUCUUUGAGGCAGGAGUUUGAGAAGCAACACUAACUGAAGGCUGAGGCAUCCUUCCGUUUUGUGGGGCAGAUGUCUCAGAUGUUGCUAAGCAAAUAGGUGGUCAGCUGCCUCAGAGUUAACAGAUAUGGCUGUCCAUGUUCAAGUUCAUGAACCUACUCCUUUUCCCUUGCCACUCUAUGCACACACUAAAAUGUUCCCACAGAAUUUCCUCCUCCCCCAUUAUUUCCAGUCACAACAGAAAUUACCCAACCAACAUUUUCUUCUAAAAAAAAUUUAAGGUCAUUCUUGCCCCUGCAUGAGAUCAGAGUUAAAAGCCGUUUCCUCCAAGCAGCUCUGUGGGGAGGGACACGGACUUGUGCCUCUGCUUCCUCACCCACCUCCCUGGUAGCCUGCCACCCAGAGCAGCAGCCCAGGGAUCCCCUAGAUUAAAAGUGCAGCUUGGGCCCCUGACCUGAACUUGGAAGGGAAUUGUAUGUGAAACUCCACCCUUCUGUCAUUUGAUGAACCUCUUGCCCUGGGUUAGUCAUUUAGGCAUUUGAGUAAAGGAGAUGAAUGUGUCUAAACUCUGGUGAAAUCUGCAGUUGAGAACUGGAAAAUGCUGGGUCAUGUUCCUUUAGUAGAUGAGACUAAGGAAGGCUCCCGUGGGCCAUGGAAUGUGCUUCCAUUUGACUGGGAACAUGAGGAAAACAGAGGGGCUUGUUCAGUAAAUGUCACUAUUCCAGUUUAGCUUCAGAGCCUGAACUGUGGUUGCAAGAUGCAGAGUUUUAUUCCACAUUCAUGCUAAGUAUCAGCACACUUGGCUUACCAACCCAGCACUCACUUCUGUGGCUACAGUAUCAGGGCCUCCCUGCUCCAGGGACAUGUACCUACAGUGUGGGCCCCACCAGUGUCAAGGGACUUGUCUACACUUCGAUGAAGCCCUCGCAGCUCCCUGAGCCAGUGCAAGCCUGGCAGAUCUGCGACUCGGGCCAGGUGCACGCCAUCCCCCCAUCCACCCCUUCCCUCCCAGGCCCUGCUAGAGCAGGAGAGGCAGAUGGGGCUAGUGUUAGGAAGUCCUUCCUAGUGACAGCUCAGUCUUCCAAGAGUGUUCCUGAACUGUCAUCUCUGGGUCUCUGGACAGAUCAUUGCCAGAAAGAGGGGAUACUAGUCUUGUAGUUUUAAGUUCAUUGGGGUUUAUUCACUAGAUAUCGUAUAACUCCCUCAAAAAAAAGGUUUAUGAAAUGCUGAGCCUCAGGUUUCAGACAUGUUUGUACACUAAGAAUUAUGCAGCAGAAUAUUUUUAAACAUUCGCAGUUUUUUUGUAAGCUAUAUAUUUUUGUAUAUUCAAUUGCUAUUUUAAAAUUUUAAUGCAUUUUGCUAAGUACUCUUGUUUAAAAAAAUAGAACAUGCAUGUAAUUGACUUAAAUGUAAAUAAAAAGCAGAUUUUAAAAAUACUUUGUGCUGAGCACGUACACACCCUUUGUCACCCACAUCC